UACGUAGGGUGCAAGCGUUGUCCGGAAUUAUUGGGCGUAAAGAGCUCGUAGGCGGCUUGUCGCGUCGGCUGUGAAAACCUGGGGCUCAACCCCGGGCCUGCAGCCGAUACGGGCAGACUAGAGUACUGCAGGGGAGACUGGAAUUCCUGGUGUAGCGGUGGAAUGCGCAGAUAUCAGGAGGAACACCGGUGGCGAAGGCGGGUCUCUGGGCAGUAACUGACGCUGAGGAGCGAAAAGCGUGGGGAGCGAACAGG
Molecule: ribosomal RNA, 254 nt
Filed under: uncultured bacterium
Lineage: Bacteria
Description: partial 16S ribosomal RNA
Rfam family: Bacterial small subunit ribosomal RNA
Source: RNAcentral